This 335-nucleotide ribosomal RNA is filed under the name uncultured Planctomycetales bacterium. RNAcentral's name for it is "bacterial SSU rRNA". It matches the Rfam family "Bacterial small subunit ribosomal RNA", at positions 473 to 806 of the family's 1533-position model. The record is from RNAcentral. Lineage: Bacteria; Pseudomonadati; Planctomycetota; Planctomycetia; Planctomycetales.
CUAAGGCUCCAGAGGAAGCCACGGCUAACUCUGUGCCAGCAGCCGCGGUAAUACAGAGGCGGCAAGCGUUGUUCGGAAUUAUUGGGCGUAAAGAGCACGUAGGCGGCCUUGCAAGUCAGUUGUGAAAGCCUUCCGCUUAACGGAAGAAUGCCAGCUGAUACUACAGGGCUUGAGUACGGAAGGGGAGAGUGGAACUUCUGGUGGAGCGGUGAAAUGCGUAGAUAUCAGAAGGAACGCCGGCGGCGAAAGCGACUCUCUGGCCCGAAACUGACGCUGAGUGUGCGAAAGCUAGGGGAGCAAACGGGAUUAGAUACCCCGGUAGUCCUAGCCGUAAA